CUCCAAGAGGAGGAAGGUUCACAUCAGAAAGCAGGGCUGCAUGCUGUCUUAAAGGCAUUAUUACUUCCUUAGGCUGGAGAUGCAAACAGUCCAGGCUCUGUCACAGGCCCUGUAUUUUUAGGAACUGAAUUUAUGACAAGAUGUUUCAAAGCAAUCUGUAUAAGGAAAAAGCAAGCCUGAGAUCCUGCUGUGCCCAUGCCAGGAGGUCCCAGGUUCCUUCCGAGCUUAUGGCCAGGAUUUGGUUUCAGCAGCAAUCUGAGGGAAGUGGUUGGCUCUUUCCUGCCUGCGCCUGGCCCACGUCCAGCAGCACAGAGGAGAAUGAAGAGGAUGGAUUUUGCUGGAGGCAAGAACUUGUCCAAAGUGUGGAUCUGCUGCAUGUGCUCAUCUGGAAUUUUUAACGCCGUGAGGCUCAAGGGACAUCUUGACUGUUCCUCAUUCCAACUCUUGCUGGAUUACUUGUCCAAGAGACAGCAAAAUUCACUGGUUUCAGUCUGUGGUGUGGUGGAAGGCAGAUCCUAUCAGAAACAUCUCUAUGUCAUCUGGUUGGACAAGACACCUACAGACCGCCGUGGCCGAGUGCUCUGUGUUUGCUUUGAAGUAGCCCAUGCAUCUGCAGGCUCUGCUCCUCACUCCUUCCUGACAUCCUCCGUGAUGACAUCUGUCAGGAUGAACUCCUUCCAUCGCUGUCCUCCAAACAGGGAGGCUGAUGGAGUUCGCAAUGUAAUAACCUCAUUCUCCUACAAAUCCUGA
Molecule: long non-coding RNA, 750 nt
Filed under: Phasianus colchicus (ring-necked pheasant)
Lineage: Eukaryota; Metazoa; Chordata; Aves; Galliformes; Phasianidae
Description: lncRNA (ENSPCLG00000010716.1)
Source: RNAcentral